GACUAAUCCGCGGGCCGCGGGGAAUGGGUGGCGCGCCAGCCGGUCGGCAGGGGUCACGCGGCCGGGUGUGCGCGGAAUGGAUUCAGGGUUCUCGGGUCGCGCCCGGGAGCUAGAGUCCUGACUCCCAGCCGGGGUCCCCGACCGGCCUUUCGGGGUUGCCGGGCGCGCUCUGCAAAGGGGAAACUGAGGCCCAAGGAAAUUGAGUAUCUCUGCAAAGUCACCAGCUGAGUUCGAACCAGACAGAUCCUGGGACCCCCUACUCUAUCCGCCACCGGAAGAAUCUCCGUCCUUGUCUUUCCAUUCUGCCCUCCCGGCUUCCCAGUAAGGUAGGCAGGGCCUGGUGGUGCACUGCCCCGUUUCAUAGAUUGAAGAAAGUGAGGUCCAGGGGGCUCAAGUCCCAGUUCCGAGUGUCCACGGCACACAGCCCCAGGACCACCCUUGACCGUCCUCAACCAAGCGAUGCAUGCCAGGGGCCCCCAUGGCCAACUGUCCCCAGCACUGCCUCUGGCCUCCUCAGUCCUGAUGCUGCUGAUGAGCACCCUGUGGCUGGUGGGGGCCGGCCCCGGCCUGGUCCUGGCCCCGGAGCUGUUGCUGGACCCCUGGCAGGGUGAGGGCCAGCCACGUGGACCUUGGAGGAAGC
Molecule: long non-coding RNA, 640 nt
Filed under: Homo sapiens (human)
Lineage: Eukaryota; Metazoa; Chordata; Mammalia; Primates; Hominidae
Description: non-protein coding lnc-RASL10A-2:2
Source: RNAcentral